UCCGUAGGUGAACCUGCGGAAGGAUCAUUCGCACGUAUCCAACCAAACAUCUGUGAACGAUUCCCUGUGAAGCUCCUUCGGGAGCUUCAAGGGCAAGGGCGCAAGGAUGAGGCUGCGGCAGUUGUCCUUGUGCCUUGUCAGGUCAUCUGAUUAACCUUGUGUUAAACCUUUAUUGAUCGCAUUGGCUUGCCAAUGUUUUCGUUCUAACAACUUUCAGCGACGGAUGUCUCGGCUCGAACAACGAUGAAGGGCGCAGCGAAGUGUGAUAAACAUUGUGAAUUGCAGAAUUCCGUGAACCAACAGGUACUUGAACGCAUACUGCGCUUUCGGGAUAUCCCUGAAAGCAUGCCUGCUUCAGUGUCUACUCAUUCUCAUUCACAUCCGGCUUCGGCCGCUGUGAGUUUCUGCGCGCCACGGCGCACUUGUGCCCGUGACGCGUGUAGUGUAUCCAGCUCCACGCGAUGACAUUUGAUUGCGCUCCUUGCGUUGUGAUCUGUCAGAGCGAAUGGUGCUGCCUCUACAGCCGCCAAGGCGUCCAAACAAAGACAUGAAGUUAGGUCAGAGAACCCGCUGAAUUUAAGCAUAUCAAUAAGCGGAGGAA
This 601-nucleotide ribosomal RNA is filed under the name uncultured eukaryote. Its description in RNAcentral is "eukaryotic LSU rRNA". The stretch from base 209 to 363 matches the Rfam family "5.8S ribosomal RNA". The record is from RNAcentral.